CUACAGUGACACCAAAGAUGAAGGGGAUAUUGACGGGAGAGCGAGAGAGUAGUUGGGAGCUGAGAUGCUUCAGCAUCAUAGUUGGGUACCUGGAGGAGGGUCCUAUUUCCAGGCAACUCAUACUUCAGUCCAAGCUAUGAGAAUAUUUCUAAAACUCCUCCACUUCUCUGGAUCCCUCCACUUCAAAUCCUAUUCAAGGACAAUUUUUCAUGGAAACUUCUCUUAUAAAGGAUCACACUCUCUGCAGUAUUUCUACUCGGCUGUGUCUGAGCCAGGUCCAGGAGUCCCUGCAUUUACUGCCUUUGGCUUCAUGGAUGACCAACCCUUCAUCCGCUAUGACAGUGAGGAGAUGAAGGCAAAGUCUUGCGUUCAGUGGUUGAUGGAGGAGCCAAGUUACUUUGAUGACGAGACCAAUAUCUUCACAAGUCGGAUGAAGAUUUUCCAGUUAAAUUUGAGGAAUGUGCAGCGAUACUACAAUCAAACUGUGGAGCAUCGUCUAAACAAAGGACACCCACAGAAGCAAGCAGGCCCCCAUGUCCUCCAGUUCACCUAUGGCUGUGAGCUCCGGGAGGACAGCAGCACCACCUGGCACUGGCAGUAUGGCUACAAUGGUGACGACUACCUGAGGUUGGAUAUGGACCCUCUGCAAUACACGGCAGUCUCACUCAUUGCCCAGUACACCAAGCAGAAAUGGGAGGCCAGUGGGAACUUCAUCGAGAGAGACAAGAUCUAUUUGGAGAAGGAGUGCAUCCUGUGGCUGCGGAGAUACUUGGAGUUUGGAGGGGAGAGCUUGAACCGCACUGAACCUCCCAGAACACACGUGACGCACCACCCCAUCUCUCACCGUGAGGUGACCCUGAGGUGCUGGGCCCUGGGCUUCUACCCUGCAGAGAUCACUCUGACCUGGCAGCAUGAUGGAGAGAUCCAGGACACAGAGUUUGUGGACACUAGGCCUGCAGGGGACGGGACCUUCCAGAAGUGGGCAGCUGUGGUGGUGCCUUCUGGAGAGGAGCAGAGAUACACGUGCCAUGUGCAGCACGAGGGGCUGCCUGAGCCCGUCAUCCUGAGAUGGGAGUCCCCUCCUCGGGCCACCAUUCCCAUUGCGGGAAUCUUUGUUGUCCUGGUUUUCCUUGGAGUUGUGGUCUGUGGAGCUGCAGUGGUUAGAUCUGUGAACUGGAGAAAGGAAACGCUCAGGUAAGGAAGGGGUGGGGUCUGAGGCUUUUUGUCCCACUGGGGGCUUUCAAGCCCAUGUAGAAGUUUGCCCUGCCUAGUUAACGGCAAGUACCACCGACACACACGUGCUUGCCAGACUGGGGUCAUUUGCUAACACUUACUCUUUAGUAAAACACAUGUGAAAAUGAAGACAAAUUUAUCAACUUGAUGAAUCUGGUGAUGGGGACCUGAUUCUCAGCAGCUGAAGGCGGAGAAUAAGGAUGCUACGCUUAGGCUACAUGCAGUGACAGUGGCCAGGGCUCUGAUGUGCCUCUCAAGGAUCCUAAAGUGUGAGGCAGUGACCUUUUGGGGGACUGAGUGAUACAAGAUUGUUCAUGCCUUGCCUCUCAUUGUGACUUGAAAACCCUAACUUCUCUUUAUGCAACUGGGAUCUGAAUGCAUCUGAGUUCCUCUCAUCACAAUGUGAGGAAGUGGGGAAACUGGAUCAUAUGGGGAGACUAUGGCCGCCUGUGUGCACUGAUCUGUGUUUUCUUCCCUUAUUGACUUCCAC
RNA transcript from Equus quagga, 1723 nucleotides. It is a transcript of the gene named HLA class I histocompatibility antigen, alpha chain G-like, with no coding region annotated. The record is from RefSeq and is a predicted model, not a curated record. Lineage: Eukaryota; Metazoa; Chordata; Mammalia; Perissodactyla; Equidae. The transcript is spliced from 8 exons.